This 432-nucleotide ribosomal RNA is filed under the name uncultured bacterium. RNAcentral describes it as "partial 16S ribosomal RNA". It matches the Rfam family "Bacterial small subunit ribosomal RNA", at positions 29 to 506 of the family's 1533-position model. The record is from RNAcentral.
AACGAACGCUGGCGGCAUGCCUAACACAUGCAAGUCGAACGAGACCUUUGGGUCUAGUGGCGCACGGGUGCGUAACGCGUGGGAACCUGCCCUUAGGUUCGGAAUAACUCCCCGAAAGGGGUGCUAAUACCGGAUAAUGUCUUCGGACCAAAGAUUUAUCGCCUUUGGUUGUGCCCGCGUUGGAUUAGCUAGUUUGUAGGGUAAAAGCCUACAAAGGCGACGAUCCAUAGCUGGUCUGAGAGCAGGAUCAGCCACACUGGGGCUCAGAAACGGACCAGACGCCUACGGAAGGCAGCAGUGGGGAAGAUGAGAAAAUGGGCGAAAGCCUGAGCCAGCAAUAGCGAGAGAGUGAUGAAGGGAGUAAGGUUGAAAGGCACUUUUACACGGGAAGAUAAUGAGAGUACCAGGAGAAUAAGCACCGGCUAACUCCGU